AUUGAACGCUGGCGGCAUGCCUAACACAUGCAAGUCGAACGGUAACGCGGGGGCAAGCCCUGGCGACGAGUGGCGGACGGGUGAGUAAUACGUAGGAAUCUGCCCAUUUGUGGGGGAUAACCCGGCGAAAGCCGGGCUAAUACCGCAUACGCUCUACGGAGGAAAGCGGGGGAUCGUAAGACCUCGCGCUAAUGGAUGAGCCUACGUCGGAUUAGCUAGUUGGUAGGGUAACGGCCUACCAAGGCGACGAUCCGUAGCUGGUCUGAGAGGACGAUCAGCCACACUGGGACUGAGACACGGCCCAGACUCCUACGGGAGGCAGCAGUGGGGAAUAUUGGACAAUGGGGGUCAACCCUGAUCCAGCAAUGCCGCGUGUGUGAAGAAGGCCUGCGGGUUGUAAAGCACUUUCAGAGGGGAAGAAAAAGUUCGGAGCUAACACCUCCGAUCUUGACGUUACCCCUAGAAGAAGCACCGGCUAACUCCGUGCCAGCAGCCGCGGUAAUACGGA
Molecule: ribosomal RNA, 508 nt
Filed under: uncultured bacterium
Lineage: Bacteria
Description: bacterial SSU rRNA
Rfam family: Bacterial small subunit ribosomal RNA
Source: RNAcentral